This is a long non-coding RNA of Anas platyrhynchos (mallard), 2804 nucleotides long. RefSeq lists it as uncharacterized. NCBI's taxonomy places the organism in Eukaryota, Metazoa, Chordata, Aves, Anseriformes, Anatidae. The record is from RefSeq and is a predicted model, not a curated record.
AGCCUGAUUUCCAGCAGCUGAUGCCCAUCAGCAUUAGGGGAAGGAAUUCAUUUUUGCAGUCAAGGCUCAGGAGGAGGUGCCACAGUGUAUUUAGGGAGCCAGGUUAUGUGGUGAGUUGUGUUCCUCCUGUAGUAUAGGUCAGAGAGGGUCUGUGCUGCUGUCCCUACACCAAGCAGCUUUCCUUGGGUGAAGGUGCCUCCAGGCUCAGCUGAAACCUGCCGGGGAGCCUAAACAGAUAGAGGAGCAGCAGAGGAGAGACUAUCUUGUGUUGGACCAGAAGUGCUACCCACAGCUAGCCCAGACCUGCGGGAGAUCAUUUAGAGCAGCAGCAGGUAAAAGAGCAAGGAGAUUUUACCCCUCUCGUAUGGAUUGGAGUUGAGGUGAAUGCCUGGAGUCUGCUUGCUUUCAGCUGAGAGAGAGGACGGAGCAGCUGUACAAAGCAGCUUGCGGAGGGCUCCCUGUUGCUGUUUUGAGAAGCUGUCAGAUGAAAGGAGUGUCAAGGACCACAAAGCAAAGAGUGGAGGCCACUGAUGGAAGAAGGUCUGUAAAAUCUCAUCUACAAGUGUGGCAGAAAAGCAUUGACAGGGAAGGGCUGACCUGGGCAGCUGCUGCAGCUUAAACAAGAGAAGUGAUUCUUGAAACCAGCCAUUAGCAAGCUGCAAGUGGAAAAUUCCCUCCCAAGUCCUGGCUUUUCAGAAAGGGAGAGGUUAAAAAAACAUCUUAAAUCCUGCAAUACAAACGUGCUUAGAGCAUGUGUGUACCUGAGACAAGGAGCAGCACACAUCCCCUGCUGUGCGGUGAAGGACGAAGGUGUGCUGUGUUGUCAAGAAUAUUGCAGAACCAGCUCCCUAGAAAAGAGUGGAAAACUUCUACAUCAGUCCAUCAGCCGGGAGGUUUUAGACCACUGGUUGCCAUGUACAGAUACGUGUGACUGAAUUUGCCUGGUCCCUGACCUCCACUGAGAUGAGUGAAGAACUGGAGAUCCUUCCUGACACGUAGAGGCUCCCCAGUGCCUUCUGAUGAUUUGACAGUUUAGGCUUUUGUCCACCCAUCAGCUAAUGCAGCAACAUCGUGCCACACGUACUGUCUAUGUACAGAAAGGAAAUAAUGAAACCCCCACUGCUGGGUCUGCUGCUGCUGUUUUCUCCUCCUGAGGGGAACCCUGGGUGUUCAUAUCAAGGUGCAGCAGAAGGCAGAAAGCUCCAAGACACUUCUUCAAACACACAUAUUAAGGACAGGUUUAAAUGGAGUGGAUGUUGUCUAGUGAUUCCUUUUUGGUUCUCCAGUCACCACAUUAACUGAUCUAUAAUUGGUGUCCUGGUUGCUCCUGUGGGGGACCAACAUGGAAGCAAAGCUCUCCCAAUGCAAGCGCAAUCCAGGUGCUGAGGAUUCCCAUCUGGACAGCAGGACUGGGGCCAUAGCAGCUCCUCAGCCCAUAGGUACCUAGGGUAGAUAAACAGGGGAGAGAGGUGUAGGAAAGAAAGCAAAGAGCAAAUAGCAAAGCUUUCCUAACUGUACUAGACUUCCUUAAACAGAACAGGGAGAAGGAGACAAUAGCCAUGAUUUUAAAUCCUUAUAGCAAAAUGUGCAUAAAAUUAUAUACAUUUGCGUUUUUCCCAGUAAAAUUAUUUUGAGGAAACACGUUAAUACCUUCUGUAACAUAUGUCAAAGUUGCUGAUCAAAGCAAGCCCUUUCACAGUUUUCUGUGUGUAACUAGGUGGAGUUCCAGCUAUUUAUUUUUAUCUUUAAAAUCCCACCUGUCUUGUGAUUUGGCCAUAAGACUGACGGAUGCCCUUUCUCACCAGGCUGCUGAAAUCAGCAGAAUCCUCUAACUGAGCUUUGCUUAGUUCUUUUCCUAAGAAAAUUUAAAUAAGUUCUCCAUCUCACUGCAAAGGAGGCACAAUCUGCACCAAACGGUCCUGCCCUGGAGGUUUCUGCAGCUAUUGACUCUAUUUCACCUGUGCUUCAAAUGACUGAUUUGAAUUCACUGAAAAUUUGAAGUAUCCUGGCCGUGAAUGCAGGUGGAAAAGACUUAGUCCACAUUGUCAUCUGUUGGUUAAAGACAGACCUGAACUGUAAAAUAUGUCUCUGAAUGAGCCAUAAGUAUCCUCACCAUUUUAUCUCAAUGCCUGCUACCUGCAUACCUCACGUUAAGACCAUCUAAUAUCUGUACACCUAGAUGUCCAAAACCCAUCACAAGCUCAGAAACCUAAUAGCAGGAAAGGAGGGAGCAAGGGCUCUAUAAGGUGUCCCUGGCGCUUGCUCUUGUUGCAUCAAGCCAAGGACGUGGUUUCUGGAGUUCUUGUUGUCUGUUGUUAGAUGUAAUCCGCUCUGAAACCCAAGCCAGUUUCCAGGUCACAUUUGUGAGCAUAUCUGUCAUCUUAUCUGGAUUUUCAGGGUCUUGUAAACUGGGCAGCCAUGCUUAAUUACAAGCUCUGUUAUAAAUGUUUCUUAUUCCCCCAAAAUGAGAGAGGGGGAUUUAUUUCCAAAUAAAUCCUAAACUUUUUCUAUAUACAGCUGUAGCUGAGAAUCUCACCUCUUAUUUUCUGUCUUCUGGGAUGUGCCAGUGAGCUACUGGGAAGAUACAUUUGCUCAUUUCAUUGUUGCAAAAAUAAAAGCCUAUUUGGCUUAAUGUAUAAAAGGCCCUAUUGACACCAGAGCCUAUGCCUGAUAGAAGUCAAUUAUGUUGUACAUACCCCUUGAAAAAAAAGAAAGGUUCGUGCCUCUUUCAUAUGUAAACCGUGUAUUCCCUAAUUUAUCUUGGAAUAAAUGCUAUUAAGCAGCCUGUAAUGCAGCAGAGGAGA